This 634-nucleotide long non-coding RNA is filed under the name Mytilus galloprovincialis (Mediterranean mussel). The record is from RNAcentral. Lineage: Eukaryota; Metazoa; Mollusca; Bivalvia; Mytilida; Mytilidae.
UCUCUGCGCCAACAAAACAUGCCAGUGAUCCUCGGCUACACAGCCCGAGAUAUGGAAACGGAUCUAAUCUGACGCCAACAAUUUCUGUUGAAGACUUUUGCAGUGAAGAACCAUUAAGGUCACGGCCAGAAUCAAGAAAUUCAAUAUCAUCUGUCAGUUCUGACAUGGGCUAUCUAACAAUCCACGGAAAACUCAAAAGUAAUGACCGCAGACCUAAAUCCGCUGACACUUAUCGACGGAAAUCGGAUAGUUCAAAACAAACUACUGAUAUUUUUAGUCUAAGAAAAGUAUCAUCUGAAAACAUUAUAUGCAGCGAAGCUGAUUCAAUAGAAUGCAGGUGUACUUGUUCCUCAACUUGUGUGUCCAGUAAAUACCGGAGUGUCAGGAAGCCAGCUGUGGUGUCGUUUUACAGUCUAUGGAGAAACAACCAACCUAGAACUUUAGGCAAAAAACUUGAAAUUCCAUCUUAUAUGAAGAGAAAAUCAGAUUAUAGAGAAUGCGGCUGCAAAACUAGAUUAUAUGAAAAGAAGUGCUCUAAAGAAUAAAUCUGAAAAAUGUUGCUGUCAUGAAGCUUAAAACGGACAUACUUUUCUGGUGCUUGUGCAAUAAUUCAUAUGAAAUAUGUUAAUGUAAG